RNAcentral lists this unclassified non-coding RNA (218 nucleotides) under Hevea brasiliensis (rubber tree). Lineage: Eukaryota; Viridiplantae; Streptophyta; Magnoliopsida; Malpighiales; Euphorbiaceae. The record is from RNAcentral.
GUUAAAAGGCGCUUUGCAUCCUUCACUUCUGCUACAGAACAGAGUUCACUUUCAGAUUCUGAUUCAUUUGUUGAGGGUAAUUCUUCUUGGUCGGAAGAGGAAGAUCUUUUAAUUGCUGCUUUGUCCAUCCACCUCAGAAUUCGAUGGCGAGGAGAAAAUUGUACUUCAUGUCUUUCAUUCAUGAAGUAACCAGUAGGCGUGGGAGGAUAAUUUAGGUU